RNAcentral lists this ribosomal RNA (675 nucleotides) under uncultured bacterium. Its description in RNAcentral is "bacterial SSU rRNA". It matches the Rfam family "Bacterial small subunit ribosomal RNA", at positions 56 to 714 of the family's 1533-position model. The record is from RNAcentral.
UGCAAGUCGAGCGAACCUUUGGGAGCUUGCUCCUAAAGGUUAGCGGCGGACGGGUGAGUAACACGUGGGCAACCUGCCUAUAAGACUGGGAUAACUUCGGGAAACCGGAGCUAAUACCGGAUAAUUCUUUUCUACACAUGUAGAAAAGCUAAAAGACGGUUUACGCUGUCACUUAUAGAUGGGCCCGCGGCGCAUUAGCUAGUUGGUGAGGUAACGGCUCACCAAGGCCACGAUGCGUAGCCGACCUGAGAGGGUGAUCGGCCACACUGGGACUGAGACACGGCCCAGACUCCUACGGGAGGCAGCAGUAGGGAAUCUUCCGCAAUGGACGAAAGUCUGACGGAGCAACGCCGCGUGAGUGAUGAAGGUUUUCGGAUCGUAAAACUCUGUUGUUAGGGAAGAACAAGUACGAGAGUAACUGCUCGUACCUUGACGGUACCUAACCAGAAAGCCACGGCUAACUACGUGCCAGCAGCCGCGGUAAUACGUAGGUGGCAAGCGUUGUCCGGAAUUAUUGGGCGUAAAGCGCGCGCAGGCGGUCCUUUAAGUCUGAUGUGAAAGCCCACGGCUCAACCGUGGAGGGUCAUUGGAAACUGGGGGACUUGAGUGCAGGAGAGAAGAGUGGAAUUCCACGUGUAGCGGUGAAAUGCGUAGAGAUGUGGAGGAACACCAGUG